GUUCCGUCCACCACCUCCCCUCCGCUAGUUUUCCCGUCGCGAUAGAACCAAUCCCUCACUAGCCCUACCUCGUCUCCCGUCUCCAAUCGCAGCCGCCGCCGCACCCCAAUCCAAUCCCGCCGCUGGCGAUCUCCUCGUCCCCCUGCGCCGCCGCCCCCAACCUUCUAUUCCUCUCCCAAGGGAAUCUCAAGGGAAGGGUAGGGAAGGGAAGGGAAGGGAAGGCAAGGGAAGGGAAGGGAAGGAAGAGGGAGCGCCCAGAUCCACGGCGGCAUCAGCGCGCCGUCGUCGACCUGAUCCGUGUCCGUCCUCAAGGGAGGUCGGCCAUGGAGGUCCGACCCGGCCCGGCAGCAGCCAUGGACGGAUGGAGAUGCCCCAAACCCUACCCUCAAGGACGACGCCUCAACCUUCAAGGACGCGCGCCGGCGACCGCGGAUCUCCGGUGACGGCUAUGGAUGACUGCCCCGGAUCUGGACACACGACCUGCAGCUGCAGCAGCAGCUGGACGACCGAACGCACGAGCCCUCCCUCCCUCCCUCAUGGCUCUGCUUCCUCCUACCCUGCCCCCCUCACGUGGGCGUGGUGAGCUUCCUACCCCCCGUGCACAUCUCAUCAAAUCUAGAUUGCUCUGAACGUAUUUAUCCUGUAAGGGUUGUGUCGUAUGUUCUUCUUGCCAUAAAUAUUUCAGAAAAUAUCAGCAUUUGAUGAGUGGAUGAUAUGAAGGAAUCAUGCUGUUAGCUCAACUGUGUUAACGAUGCCUGUUAUUGUUUUCCAUGAUUUGCUUUUCAUUGGUACAAUUUUUUUAGCAUAUAUGGAGGCCAUCUAUUGUUCUGCACUAUCUUGUUUGUGGACUUACAUUUGACUACACUAUCUUAUAAAGGUCCCACAAAUAGAAGCGUUGCUCAUAUGCUCCUGAAUCAGGUGUGCAGUAUGAUGGAGUUUACAGAAUUGAGAACUGUUAGAUAAAGAUUGGUGUUCAGGUAAUUUUACUUCCUGUACAGAGGUUCCACAUGCUGCUCUCUACUUUGUGCCACUGAAUGAAAGAUCAAUGUAUAUUCUUUUGAUUUCUGUCACAGGGUACGUAUAAGGUCUUGAUGUUAAACUGAUGUAUUUUUAUUGCUUACUAAACCCUCCUAAGUCCUAACUCAACCACUUGAAGUUAAACUGAAGUAUUAAUCAAUCUUGUUUGCUUUCUUGUACGUGUAUGCCUACUUACCUUGCCCUAUAUGGCGAUCGAUGGCCAGCCAUAGAAAGGUUCUGAUUUUUUUAUUUUGUCAAGUUCAGUUCAUAUUUUUUUAUCCAUGUGGUGUUUAAACGAUGGCUAUGUAGAGUUCAUAGAAAUUGUGAGGCAUAGAAUUGAUUCAAUCUUCAGUUUUUUCCAAUUUGGUUCAGAGCUAUUACCUGCUACACCUACAGAUGUGAAAAGCUUACACUUUGCAAAUCCAAAAUUAAGCAGCAUAAUUUCUCACAGAUUAUAUAUAAAUUGAGUGACAACUGCUGGGACAUGUGCUUCUUUUGACCUAUUAUCUUGCUUUUGCAUGAUUAAUUGAAGGUCCAUAAGGCAGUUCUAUCUCUCUCGCUAACACAAUAAGUUUCUCUUUAACAAAAAAAUAAACAUAGGGCAGGAGCAUAGAUGGUGCACAGGAGAGCUGCCUUGUCAUUGAUAGAGGAAGUGUGAGAGCAUGCUAAUUGUGCAGGGAAGAGAAAUAAAAUGAAAGCGAAAAUGAGAAACAAAAGAGAAGAAUGUUAUGAUCUCAUGAUAAUGUCGGCCACCAGCCAGCGCCCACAGGAGUAUACCUAUAGGCGGUCCAAAGGUUAUCUAGGUUGGUAAAAAGCAAGGCCGCCUCAUAGUUGAGGAAGAUGAUGUGUAACCAAUGAAGAAGAUAUAUUAGGAUGGAACUCGAGGCAUUUUGUGGACUAGUAUCUAUAGUUUUUUGAUGCCUAUAAAGCAGAGGUUUGUGUGACAAAACAGAAGUAUCCAUGAAUUACUACUUUAUAAGAUUUAGGUUCCACUAUAAUGUUGUUGAUGAUAGCCAAGCCGAGAAAGAAGGAUCCCGAUCUCUGCCGUGGUCGACAAACAGCGCGAUGGGCGGAGCACCCAGCCCGUAGGCUCAUCCCCUUCUCCGAUCCACUCCGGCGGCGGCCAUCGUUGUCAAGGCAUCGGUUCAUGUGGUUUCCUGCUACUGGCAUAUCAAAGAGAUGCAGACGAGAGGAAGAGAGCCUCCCCCAAGCUAUGUCUAGGCGAUGCACAGGCGACGGCCACCCUUCCUGUUAUUGCCUCCAUGGCUGGCUGCUCAUCCCCAGGAACCUCCUCCCCUCUCACGUGCGUGAUUAAGUUGGAACACAGGUAUCUAGGGCAGGGCGUGGUCACAUUGCAGGAAGCAAGGAGCAGCGCAAAGUUGUCUCGGCCGUGCCCUGCAUCGAGGAGGAACACAUGUAUUUACAAAUCGAGGAAGAAAACAUGUAGUUUUCUGUAUUUUUCUGUUUGUUAUUUUGUAACUUUAUGCUUCACCUGUCCUGAAUUAUACCUAUACUCAUGUUGUCAGAUACAUAGGUAUACAGAUACAUAGCUAUGGAAGAUACGAUUUACUGAUACAUAUCUGAAUGUUAUAGCUAUAAAGAUACCUGAUUGUUAUAGCUGAAUGUAACAAAGAAAGUGGUAUGGAUGAAUGGUGUCGUUUCUUUACCCAUGCUGUGGUUGAAAUCGUUGUUUGGUUCCCAGGUUGAAUAAAUCCGACAUAUGUAAAUCAUCGAUGUUUUUCUGGAAGUAGUAUAGUAGGUUUAAGAUGGCUAAUGCUACAUCUACGUACAGAGAUACAAAGACUUACGUAAACUACCUAAACUAAAUCCUCUCCCCCCUGAUUUUAAUGGGGGUGGGCCCCUUCCUCUCCUUGUCUCCAAUCCUGAUCCACCACGUCUCUCAUUACGUUAGAUUACGUUACUUGUUUACGUAAGUGUAGCAUUGUCCGUUUAAGAUUGGGCGAUGAUUGGUUCAUUCGACUACUUAUAAUUUGGGUUUCUAUAGUUUCAAGAGGCUAACAAUUCCACCUUGGGUGUCUUAUCUCUAAGAUUCUAACUAUCAAAUAACAUUGCUUUGAAGUGUAGAUGUUCCGGGAUUGCUAGCUCCUGCCAGGUGAUCAGAAUUACUGCUUUGUUUAUUACUCAACGAUGUUGGACACUGGUUUCUCUAAAUAUCUUUUACAAGUACAGUUUCUACUUUUUUCUGCAGAAAUACAACAUGGUAGUCUUGAAGUAAAUACCAAUCAUGUGAUCCGAUAUGUUGUUUCAGAACAAUAGACCAUCAAUAUUAUUUUCGCCUCGUGUUCUAGAGGAGGACAGCUAAUUAAGAGAAAACUUCGGUGGGAUAGAGACAGAAGUUUGCUAUAUUUCACAAUACCCAAACCGAAUUUCAUUGCUGAUUCUUCUGCCCUGAACUUUGCCCAUGCCAAUUACAUUUUGUAGACCCUAUUUAAGGAAACUACUUCGUUUACACCAUCCCAUUGGCAUGUCUAUUAGCAGUAAUGAAACUUAAAUGAACACUUCUAGGCUAGAUAUUAUUGAGGUGUUGUGUAUGUUGGUCCUUUUUAUAGAUCUUGCCAUCUUUGUUUGCCAGGUGAUCAGUCAUUUAAAGUAUUUGAGAAACUUGAAGGGAAGCACAUGGCAAAGCCAUAAUUACCUUUUAGUUAUAUUUCAAGUUGUAGGAAAGUUGGAAUCAAUCUGGAAAGCAUCUUUCUAUUGCAGAUAUUUUAUUGUGGCUUGAAGACUUACACUCUGUUUGAUGUUACAGAAAUAGUGAGGUUAUGCCACAAUGCUGAUAGACUUGGUACUUGUAGGAUGGAGAGGAGAAGACUGAAAAGGAUGUUGAUAUGAGGAAUUCAAGGAAGUGGAAGAGGAAGAAAGUUCUGAUGAUGGUGAUAAUUAGAAUAUCAAGUUUGACGACGAUGAUGAUUGGAACCAAGAGGAGGAAGUACCUGCUGCUAAAACCCACCAAAGAAUUAGCAAGAAAAUUGAUGGUGGGAGCUAGCAAUGCCGGCAGUGCCUCCUUUAGGAUUACAAAAUCGUUAAUCCUAUCUUCGCUUGCAUGUGACUGAUGGUGAUGCUACACAAGUUCUGAAGGCAGUGCCCUCCCCUUGAGCAGGAGAUCUUGCUGGUUCUGCAUGGCACAACUGGAUUAAAUAUGCUACAGCAAGCGAAGGAGUUCAAUGAUUUUGUUGGAAUCAAAGGAUUCAUCCUAACGAAGACGGGACUGCUCGUGUUGGUUGUGUGGUACAGGCGAUUUCCAGUGCUUUAUUGUAACAGUACAAAUUCCAGUCCUGGAUCUUAAAUAAACGACAACUAAACUUGCUGACCUGAAUCCUGUCUCAGGUGAGUGUUCAUAGACGAACUUGGAGUUCUAGCCAAGUUUGUUGGCGUCGGCGAAGGGGUGGAAGAUCUCCAACCUUUUGAUGCAGAAGCAUUUAUUGAAGCCAUUUUCCCAUAAAAGUGACCCAGUUAUUAGUGUUUCUCAUGUAACAAGAUUUUGGCUAGCAUGCUACUCCCUCCGUUUCUAAAUAUAUGUCUUUUUAGGAAUUCUAAUAUGGACUACGGCUGUGUUUGGUUGAGCUGCAGAUUCUGGAAAAGCAGCUGUGGAAAAGCUGCUGUGGAAAAGCUGCUGUGAAAAUGCUGCUGUAGAAAAGCUGGAGGCUGUUUGGUUAAAACGACUGUGAAACUGUAGAUUUGGUUGUAAAUUGUCUGUAAUGCCCCUGGCAGCUGAGUGAAUAUGUUUAUAUGCUAAUUGACCUUAAAGUAGUGACAUGUACAUUUGUAGGGAAUUGGACGAUCAUUUGACAUAGAAAAAAAAUAUGACAAUGUAAGCAAUUUAUAGUAACACAUACACAAUUGAACAACUAUACUUUGAUGUUGCAUACAUUUAUAUAGAUAAUGCUCCCAUAAUAUUAUUACAAAGA
Molecule: long non-coding RNA, 4943 nt
Organism: Triticum aestivum (bread wheat)
Lineage: Eukaryota; Viridiplantae; Streptophyta; Magnoliopsida; Poales; Poaceae
Exons: 10
Source: RefSeq, a predicted model, not a curated record